This is a long non-coding RNA of Equus asinus (donkey), 2307 nucleotides long. The record is from Ensembl. NCBI's taxonomy places the organism in Eukaryota, Metazoa, Chordata, Mammalia, Perissodactyla, Equidae.
AGAGUGCCGGCGCUGUCGGGGAGCUCCUGCCCUGACAUUGCUGGCUUUGAAGAUGGUGGAAGGAGAUCAAUCAAGGAAGCAGGUGGCCUCUAAAAGCUGGAAAAAGUACAGAGAGCCUCCACCUUGAUCUUGGCCCAGUUAGAACCCUGUCAGGCUUCCUUCUACUGAGCUGUAAAGAAAUCUGAAGGUGGCAAUUCAGAGCUGGCAUGGCAAUUCCAUGUUCAUCAGGGACCCAGAAUUCUUCAUAUUUCUGCUCCUGCAUUUCCUACACUUGGUUCGCUUUCUCAAAGUCACCUCAUAGUUCAAACUGCUGCUGGAUAUCCAGUCAUUACAGCCAUUUUCCAGGAUGAUUAACCCUGAGCUAACAUCUACUGCCCAUCCUCCUUUCUUUGCUGAGGAAGACGGGCCGGGAGCUAACAUCUGUGCCCAUCUUCCUCUAUUUUAUAUGUGGGAUGCCUGCCACAGCAUGGCUUGACAAGUGGUGCAUAGGUCCACACCCAGGAUCCGAACAGGUAAAAUCUGGGCUGCAGAAGUGGAAUGUGAGAACUUAACUGCUGUGCCACUUGGCUGGCCCCUAAAGGUAAUUUUCCUGAAGUGUUUUAUGUUAUUGCUUGCAUGAUUAUGCUUUUGUUGUAGUUGUAUACUACUCCAUUGUGUGGGUAUAGCACAUUUUAUUUAUGUAUUCACUUAUGAGCAUUUUUCCUGCUUCCAGUUCUUGGCUGUUAUGAAUAAAGCUGCUAUGAUCAUUCAGGCAUAAUUUAUAUAGAUAUCCUUUUUCCUGUUUCUUGCAUAAAUACUUAGGAGUGGGAUUGCUGGGAAAAAUGGUAGGUGUAUGUUUAACAUUAUAAGAUGAUGCCACAAUGUUUUCUAAAGUGGUUGUGACAUUUUGGAAUUCCCGUAUUCCAGUUGUUCCACAUCCUUGCCUAUGCUUGAUAUUAUAGGUCUUUCAGAUUUUAGCCAUUCUAGUGGUUCUAAUGGGUAUGAGGUAAUAUCUCAUUGUGAUUUUCAUACACAUUUCUGUGAUGGCUAACGCUGUUGAGCAGGUUUUCAUGUGGAUGUAAGCCAAUUAUAUAUCUUUUGUGAAAUGUCAUCCAUGUCUUUGCUAUAUUUUUGUAGAGUUGUUUGUCUUCUAAUUGUUGACUUGAAAGAAUUUUGGCUAUUUUAGAGAGUUGCAUUCAUAUAAAGUUUAGUCACUUUGUCACUUGUUAUAAAAGCUUGCUAGAAUUAUAAUAGGGAUGGAAUUGGCUUUAUAGGUCAACUUGGGGAAUCUGGACUUUUAGCAAUAGUGAGUUUUUCCAUUAAUAGCUAUGACAGAACUCUCCAUUUAUUUAGGUCUCAUUUUUUCUCGGCUAUGUCUGUAGUGUUUAGUUUAGAGGUCCUGCAUAUAUUGUUAAAUUUAUUUUCAAUUAUUUUCUUUUUAAUACUGUUUUAGAUAGUAUUUUUAUUUCUUUCUCCAGUUACUUGUUACUACUAUAUAUAGAAAUACAAUCCUUUUAUUUUAUAUUAGCCAUAUGUCCUGUGGCCUUGAUAAACUUACCUAUUAAUCUUAGUAGAUUUUUUUUGGUAGAUUCCUUAGAAUACACACACACACACACACACACACACAGAUUUUUUUCAAUAUAUAUUCUUUUAUAUAUGUCUUUUACUUAUUUUUCUUUAAUACACUUGCUAGGAUCUCUAGUAACAUGUGGAAAAGAUACAGUGAAAAUUUACAUUCUUGCCUUGUUCCCAAUCAUAGAGGGAAAGUAUUUAGUUUUUCACCAUUAUAUAUGAUACCAGCUACAAGUUUUCAUAGAUACCUUUAUCAGGUUGAGAAAGUUUUAUUGUAUUCCUAAUUUUCUGAGUUUUUUGUCAUGAAUGGGUGUUGACUUUGAUCAAUUUUCACCUUUAUUUUCUUUAUAUCUGCCUUCCUUAUAUAAAGCCUACAUGAUCUUAAAAUAGGACGCUUUUUAUAUUUUGCUGAAUUGGAUUUGCUUAUAUUUUUUUAAGGAGUCAUGCACUUAUUGGUCUAUGAUUUUUCCUCUCUAAUAAUGUCCUUGCCAGUUUUCUCUAUCAGAACCUCAUAGAAUGGGAAAACAUCAUUAUUCCUCUGCAUUUUAAGGGAGUUUGUGAAAGAUUGGUGUUACUUCUUCCUUAAAUAUUUGGGAUUCAUCAAAGAGACUAUGUAAGUCUGUGCUUUCCUUCAAGGGAAGAUUUUGAUUAUGAAUUCAAUUUAUUUACUAUGUUAUAUAUAUUAACUGUAUCAAUAAUAUGACUAUUCAGAUUUUCUAUUUCUAUUCAGUUCAAUUUUGAUAGCAUUUUCUAGGA